This 452-nucleotide ribosomal RNA is filed under the name uncultured bacterium. RNAcentral describes it as "bacterial SSU rRNA". It matches the Rfam family "Bacterial small subunit ribosomal RNA", at positions 29 to 524 of the family's 1533-position model. The record is from RNAcentral.
AACGAACGCUGGCGGCAGGCUUAACACAUGCAAGUCGAACGGUUGUAGCAAUACAGCAGUGGCAGACGGGUGAGUAACACGUGGGAACCUUCCUAGGGGUACGGAACAACUCAGGGAAACUUGAGCUAAUACCGUAUACGUCCGUGAGGAGAAAGAUUUAUCGCCCUUAGACGGGCCCGCGUCGGAUUAGCUAGUUGGUGGGUAACGGCCUACCAAGGCGACGAUCCGUAGCUGAUCUUAGAGGAUGAUCAGCCACACUGGGACUGAGAUACGGCCCAGACUCCUACGGGAGGCAGCAGUGGGGAAUCUUGGACAAUGGGCGCAAGCCUGAUCCAGCCAUGCCGCGUGAGUGAAGAAGGUCUUCGGAUUGUAAAGCUCUUUUGCCAGGGACGAUAAUGACGGUACCUGGAGAAUAAGCCCCGGCAAACUUACGUGCCAGCAGCCGCGGUAAU